RNAcentral lists this unclassified non-coding RNA (354 nucleotides) under soil metagenome. Its description in RNAcentral is "partial contains 5.8S ribosomal RNA, internal transcribed spacer 2, and large subunit ribosomal RNA". The stretch from base 1 to 120 matches the Rfam family "5.8S ribosomal RNA", at positions 35 to 154 of the family's 154-position model. The record is from RNAcentral.
GAUGAAGAACGUAGCGAAAUGCGAUAAGUAAUGUGAAUUGCAGAAUUCAGUGAAUCAUCGAAUCUUUGAACGCACAUUGCGCCCGCCAGUAUUCUGGCGGGCAUGCCUGUUCGAGCGUCAUUACAACCCUCAGGCCCCCGGGCCUGGCGUUGGGGAUCGGCGGAAGCCCCCUGCGGGCACAACGCCGUCCCCCAAAUACAGUGGCGGUCCCGCCGCAGCUUCCAUUGCGUAGUAGCUAACACCUCGCAACUGGAGAGCGGCGCGGCCACGCCGUAAAACACCCAACUUCUGAAUGUUGACCUCGAAUCAGGUAGGAAUACCCGCUGAACUUAAGCAUAUCAAUAAGGCGGAGGA